GAUUGGAACAAAAUAGUAAAUUU
This 23-nucleotide non-coding RNA is filed under the name Cricetulus griseus (Chinese hamster). Lineage: Eukaryota; Metazoa; Chordata; Mammalia; Rodentia; Cricetidae. The record is from RNAcentral.